RNAcentral lists this transfer RNA (89 nucleotides) under Hoya diversifolia. RNAcentral's name for it is "tRNA-Val". It matches the Rfam family "tRNA". From Rfam's summary of the family: Transfer RNA (tRNA) molecules are approximately 80 nucleotides in length. Lineage: Eukaryota; Viridiplantae; Streptophyta; Magnoliopsida; Gentianales; Apocynaceae. RNAcentral also lists the same sequence under 16 other names. The record is from RNAcentral.
AGGGCUAUAGCUCAGUUGGUAGAGCACCUCGUUUACACGCGCGCCAAUGUUUACCGAGAAGGUCUACGGUUCGAGUCCGUAUAGCCCUA